Long non-coding RNA from Ziziphus jujuba (common jujube), 597 nucleotides. RefSeq lists it as uncharacterized. The transcript is spliced from 3 exons. The record is from RefSeq and is a predicted model, not a curated record. Lineage: Eukaryota; Viridiplantae; Streptophyta; Magnoliopsida; Rosales; Rhamnaceae.
UUUAGAAUUUUAGAGCGGCAAAAAACACUGGCAAAUUUGGCAAAGUGCGAGCGAGAGUGAAAAGAAAGGAGAAAAAGAUUAUAAGGACUCGGUUGGUAUGGUUUGGAAAUGGACUCUCUCUAUAUCGUCCGCCGCCAUCUCUCGCUUCGUCUGGAAAGAUCUUAUGCUCCAUCGUUACGCUUUUUCCUCCCAUAUGAAGCGCAAGUUUGAUGCUCUUGAAGAAAGAAUCCUCAAUCUGGAAUCAAUCCCUCCUUUUCACGAUUCUAAUCCCCAAUCCUCAGCAUUGGAGGAGCAACUGAUGGACUGAGCAGAAAAUUGAAGCACAAAAUUUGCGAUCGUGGAGUUACAAGUACAAGCUGAUAAAAUUACACAUACACUCACAGAGAUAGAUAAAGAGAGAGAGAUAUAUUUCCAAAAAAGAUAGAGAAGCAUUGGUGGUGGUUUGUCCCCCAUUAAUGUAAGUUGCUUCUCUGUACAACAUAGAAAAUGAACUUAUCUGAAAACCUUUAGUUGUGCUGUAUUGAAUGAGUUUUACAAUUUUGAACCUUGUCAUUAUGCGCUAUGCUUAUAAUAUUGUUUUAUUUGGUGUGACAGAAA